This 641-nucleotide long non-coding RNA is filed under the name Felis catus (domestic cat). RNAcentral's name for it is "lncRNA (ENSFCAG00000048730.1)". The record is from RNAcentral. Lineage: Eukaryota; Metazoa; Chordata; Mammalia; Carnivora; Felidae.
GUCAAAGCAUUAUUUUGUAAUUAGCUCUCAUGUCUCAGCAGUAUGUCUGAUGGAUGACUAGUAUAUCCUGUUAGGCUGGGCUUUCCUUGGCAGACUAGCUCAGAUUCUAGCUGUACCCGUGCCAUCAUGUUCAAUCCUGUCUUCUCUAGACCCUUCUGCUGGCAUUGCCAAUGACUUCCAUCUGCAGGAUAGAGUCCUUUGAGUUCCACAGUCAUCCUGAUCUGGUCAGAAGGUCAGCGCCAGUCUUCAGCCCACAAUGGCAAGGACAAGAAGCCAGAAGCAGGAUAAAAGAAACUUGCCAACUGAUAUUGGUCUCCAAUUUCUACUAAACAGAAUAGUGAAGGAGGAACAGGAGCCCAAUGAGGUGUGGAUUCUCAGUUUUUCUACUCUUGUAUGGAGUUCUGACCCUUACACAAGUACAUUGGAGAUUGGGGAGGAGGUGGAGAAGUGCAAGACUUUGUACUUCAAUACUGGCUUGCUGGGGACACAGUGCUGAACUUUUUUUUUAAUUUUUAUUUAUUUUUGAGAGAGAGAGAGAGAGAGAGGAGAGAGAGAGAGAGAGAGAGAGAGAGAGUGUUGGAGUGGCAGAGAGAGAGGGAGACACAGAAUCUGAAGCAGGCUCCAGAAUCUGAGCUCUCAGC